Molecule: unclassified non-coding RNA, 331 nt
Filed under: Hevea brasiliensis (rubber tree)
Lineage: Eukaryota; Viridiplantae; Streptophyta; Magnoliopsida; Malpighiales; Euphorbiaceae
Source: RNAcentral
GUAACAGUAACAGCUCUUCAGCCCUUCCUGAUUCUGGUAGCACUCAUGGCUGCUGUUCUUCACUUGCAGGAAAUUCCAGAUGACGCUGAACUUGCCCACAGUCGCCACCAGAUGCCUCUCCUGCUUACCGUUCUCAGUCACCCAUGAGAAUUGUCCACCCUUGAACUUGUUGUUUGCUCCAGCUAGAUGUGAAUCCACCGGCGUAAGUUUCAACAACCUCGGAGCUGCUAUCCUGUUCCCCAUCCGACCACUGAAACCAGUCUUCUCUUUCCCGUCCUUGUCCUUAAAAAUGGUGCAUAUGAGGAUCAGAUAUGUAUCAGUAGUACCCAAU